This is a small nucleolar RNA of Chelonoidis abingdonii (Abingdon island giant tortoise), 136 nucleotides long. Ensembl annotates it as small nucleolar RNA, H/ACA box 56. The record is from Ensembl. NCBI's taxonomy places the organism in Eukaryota, Metazoa, Chordata, Testudines, Testudinidae.
GAGCAGACAGUUAUCCCUUUCUAGCUUGAUAUCUGUGGCUCUAGAGGGAGUCAGUCUGCCAAAUUAAACAGAGAAGGCUCUGCCUUUGUCCAGCACGGUUAGGCACUGAUGCGGGCUGCAGGCUUUCUGUACACCA